RNAcentral lists this ribosomal RNA (437 nucleotides) under uncultured bacterium. RNAcentral describes it as "partial 16S ribosomal RNA". It matches the Rfam family "Bacterial small subunit ribosomal RNA", at positions 30 to 507 of the family's 1533-position model. The record is from RNAcentral.
AGCGAACGCUGGCGGCAUGCUUAACACAUGCAAGUCGAGCGGGUGGAUUCGGCCAUCCGCGGCGUACGGGUGGGUAUCGCGGAGGAAUGUAUCCCUAGGUGGGGGACAACCCUGGGAAACUGGGGCUAAUACCGCAUGGGGCCUGUCGGUCAAAGCCUUAGGGCGCCUUGGGUGCAGCGUGCGUCCGAUUCGGUAGUUGGUGUGGUAAAGGCCUCCCAGUCCUUCGAUCGGUAGCUGGUAUGAGAGGACGAGCAGACACACUGGGACUGCGACGCAGCCCGGACUCUUACGGGAGGGAGGAGUGGGUGAUAUUGGAAAACGGGGGCAAGCAUGAUGGAGCAAGGCCGGGUGAGUGAAGAUGGUCGGCGGAUAGAAAAGCCCUUUUGGCGGGGACGAUGAUGACGGUACCCGCAGAAGAAGCCCCGGCUAACUUCGUG